This 396-nucleotide ribosomal RNA is filed under the name uncultured bacterium. RNAcentral's name for it is "partial 16S ribosomal RNA". It matches the Rfam family "Bacterial small subunit ribosomal RNA", at positions 523 to 918 of the family's 1533-position model. The record is from RNAcentral.
AUACGUAGGUGGCAAGCGUUGUCCGGAAUUAUUGGGCGUAAAGCGCAUGUAGGCGGUAAUUUAAGUCUGUCGUGAAACUGCGGGGCUCAGCCCCGUAUGGCGAUGGAAACUGGGUUACUUGAGUGCAGGAGAGGAAAGGGGAACUCCCAGUGUCGCGGUGAAAUGCGUAGAUAUUGGGAAGAACACCGGUGGCGAAGGCGCCUUUCUGGACUGUGUCUGACGCUGAGAUGCGAAAGCCAGGGUAGCGAACGGGAUUAGAUACCCCGGUAGUCCUGGCCGUAAACGAUGGGUACUAGGUGUGGGAGGUAUCGACCCCUUCCGUGCCGGAGUUAACGCAAUAAGUACCCCGCCUGGGGAGUACGUUCGCAAGAAUGAAACUCAAAUGAAUUGACGGGG